AUUGAACGCUGGCGGCAGGCCUAACACAUGCAAGUCGAGCGGAUGAAGGGAGCUUGCUCCUGGAUUCAGCGGCGGACGGGUGAGUAAUGCCUAGGAAUCUGCCUGGUAGUGGGGAUAACGUCCGGAAACGGGCGCUAAUACCGCAUACGUCCUGAGGGAGAAAGUGGGGGAUCUUCGGACCUCACGCUAUCAGAUGAGCCUAGGUCGGAUUAGCUAGUUGGUGGGGUAAAGGCCUACCAAGGCGACGAUCCGUAACUGGUCUGAGAGGAUGAUCAGUCACACUGGAACUGAGACACGGUCAAGACUCCUACGGGAGGCAGCAGUGGGGAAUAUUGGACAAAGGGCGAAAGCCUGAUCCAGCCAUGCCGCGUGUGUGAAGAAGGUCUUCGGAUUGUAAAGCACGUUAAGUUGGGAGGAAGGGCAGUAAGUUAAUACCUUGCUGUUUUGACGUUACCAACAGAAUAAGCACCGGCUAACUUCGUG
This 483-nucleotide ribosomal RNA is filed under the name uncultured bacterium. RNAcentral describes it as "partial 16S ribosomal RNA". It matches the Rfam family "Bacterial small subunit ribosomal RNA", at positions 30 to 507 of the family's 1533-position model. The record is from RNAcentral.